GCUCCGCGUCCGGGGGCAGGGAGGCCGCGGCGGAGGGGCCGCCGGGGCCGCCGCCAGCAGCGCCGGCGGGGGGAGCGGGAGCAGGAGGAGGAGCUGGAGACUGAAGGUACGAGGGGCGAGAUGAGCAGGAGGAAUGUGCCUCAGAGGUAAAAAUAAGGAAUAUGGUCUGGAAAAGAGGGUGACUGCACCUGAAGGCAUUGCUCAGAACAGGAAGGUGUAUGCUAAUGAGUAAGUAAGCCUUUUGAAGGUUCAGUUUGUAGCACUCCAGGCAAUGCUGAACCACAGACUGAAAUGAAUUCUGUAGCGAAAUGCAUUUAGAAACUUGGCUACAGUCAAUCAGAUACUAAAAAAAAAAAAAAAAAAAUAAAAAGAGUUACAAAAAAAUCUCAGCACUGGAAUGAAAAAGUGGAGUGAUCAACAUUAAGUGAGAAAACAGAAAGGUAAGAGAUGUUGGGAGGAAAAGCUGAGAUUUUACUUUUCUUGUGCCUCGUUUCAAGAAGCAGCGAAGAAAACUACAGGAAGAAACACAGGCUGGGAUGAGAAGGGAAGGGUAAGUGUGAAAGUCAUCAGCGCUGAGGAAGGGAGAGAAGUCACCCAGAGGCCAGGGCAGAGGGUGGAGGGAGAAGCAGCAGCGAAGCCAGAAACCAGCAGAGUGAGUUUUCCUCGUGUUUGCAUAAGCUAGCACCUGUAUUGCUCGCAGCUGGAGCAGCCCAUAUGGGGGGUGGGAGACCUUCCUUCCCUGGGAAACGGGAGGAUUGCUGUUUUACAUAUGAACGAGGCCUGAUGACAGAAAAUGACUCCAGUUGUAUGCUAAUGUCGAAGCGUUUACGCUGCUGAUACUGUUGGAAGUACCAUUUCCAGCGGGGAAGGACCCACAGUGUUUUAUUUCCCUGCAGGAUCUCCACUAAUCUCCAUUAUAUUAAUACACUUGGAGUGCUUUGUUUUCCUCAAGUGGGCCUGAGAGGAGGGUGAUAAAUGGACCUAAGUGAUACAAAAUGCUGCAGUGUUUGGUUAUCUGGAGUGAGCGUGUUGUGCUCCCAAAUUUGGAACGAUGUAUUAAUAAAUUGUAAAACUGCUGGUGACUUGUUUGAUUAUUUGGUUUUUUUCCCUCUCAAGUAAUGGCAACAUGAACUUUAAAGGGCACCAUAAUGUUGUGUAUUUUCAUUACAGGAUCUCUCUAAAGGGGAGGUGAAGGUGUGAACGAGGCUGUAAAAUCACCUUAGAUGAGAAAUCACAGCAAGCAGAGGAACACACACAAUUGGUUUAGAUGGCUAGAUGAACUCACUGUCAGUAUGCCACAGACAGUGUUACCCUGAACAUUGCUGGAGCAGAUCCUUUUCCUGGUAAUCAAAUAGUGAAGCUGAGCGAAACAGAAAUUGUGGCAGCUGUUGUAAAGUUUAAUUUCUUUUACGUGGUUUUAAUAGAGGUGGAGUAGACUGAAAACUUAAUUGAUAAUGUCCAUAACCAUCAGAUAAAGUCAGUUUAUUCAGUGGUUUGUUUUCCCUGUGGAUGAGACAAAUCUGUUUGUCCCGAGACCAGCCCGUUUUCUCAUUAAAUGGAUCCUCGCUGCUUGUUGCCAUCCUCUGUCUAGGAAAUCUUCCUGGAAGUGUGUGCAUUUUAUCUUUUUGUAACCUAGUGAUAUUUUGUAACACUGUUCUCUAAGACAGCGAAAAAGUCUGCUUAGAGUAAGUGCCUUUGCAGAAUCCUGGUAUCCAGGAUACUUAUAAACAGCUUUUUCUGAAAGAUCUGUUGGGUGAUAGAAAAAUUCCUUUGCUAGAUCCUGUUUAUUAGGUAUGUUACCUUAAUGUGUGCAUAUUAAAAGGUGUGUUUAGAAGUUGCAUUAGACAUAUUAAUAAUUCUGAAUAUUGAAAACACUUUGAUUCCUGUCUUCAUAAGGAAUGCUUUUGUUUCAAGUGCAGCUGCCACUUGCUGUUUAGGAGCUGAGCUUUGGUGGGUUUAAAUGUCUUCUGAAGUGUAGUUCAUAACUGAGUGCCUAGAGCCAGUCAUGGUAGUGUAUGUGCUUCCCUCUCAAGUCAGGAAUUUAAUAUAAUAAAUAUAUUUUGCUGAAACAUAAGCUGAUACAAUUUUUCACUCCAUUUAAGACCAAAAUCUUAAAUUGAAGCGCUGUAACACAGUCUGUGCAGCACACCAGCCUGGAGCAGUACUGAGUUUUGUGUUGCUCAUUUUUUUCUCUAAAUGAACCAUCUCCACUUGGAAAAAAUAAAUCUUUUAUAGAGUCAAGAAUAUCGUGUGAUGGUUAGGAGACAGAUUUAAGGACUUAAGGUAACAGUUUAAUGGGAAUCAUCUACCUGAGGUCCGAGGAAUGGUCUCCUCCUGGUGUGGUGUGGCAGCAGGGCUGGGCUGCCUCGGCUACUUGCUGACACCCAAAGGAGAAGGCCUUACUCUCCCUCCUUCCCUCCUCUCACUGCUGGUGAUGAGGCCUGGCCACGAGGUGAGCAGUGAAUUCGCCCCCCUGGCAAAAGCACGUUUACUGUUGGUUUUGUUUUGCCGGAGGUCACUCUAAUGUAAUUUUGCUGAGCUGAGUCAGCUCGCCUUUGCAUGAAGUGAGCAAUGAGAGCUGGCUCAGGGUGAGCAGUGGUGGUGUGCAGCUGGAAGGAGAUGCCAGGGAAGAGCAGGGAACUUUUGAUGAUGAGAUGUUGUUUAUGCUCAUGGUAUAUUCAAUACAGAAAUCUCUGGAGCCUGGGAGUGCUGGAGGAAAUACCUCUGCAGACAGUGACUGGCUCCUCUGCCUGUUUGCCACCUCAGCCAGAAUCAAGCCAGCUCUGAUGCAGAACUGUGUUAGCUAAUAUACACAGCCCCUCAGGGAAACCUUCCUAUUUUCCUCUUUCUCUUUAAAUUAUUUAAUGUUACACAGUGCAGAAUGGCCACGUUGCUUUUCGAUGUUUAAAGUGACCGUAUGCCAAAUGAAAUGCAGGAUCAAACCAGUGGGGAGUUGGCAGUUUUCUGUGAUUUGAUCAUCAUUGAAGCAAUAUAUCAAUCGCAAAUGCAGGCCCAGAAUAGUGCUUCAGUUAAUGAUUGACAUGGAUUUAUUUAAUCUGUAUCGAAUUAAUGAAUUAAUUAUUUGGUUUGUAGUGUGCUAUAGUUAUUACUCGUGUUAACAGAAAAAUUUGGGCCAGUGUUUGAGUGUGAUUGAAUGUUUUGUAUGUUGUGUAUCAUAGAAUCAUCGAGUGGUUUGGGUUGGAGGGGACCUUAAAGAUCAUCCAGUUCCAACCUCCCUGCCAUGGGAAGGGACACCUUCCAUUAGACCACCUUGCUCAAAGCCCCAUCCAACCUGGCCUUGAACACUUCCAGGGGCAGGGCAUCCACAUCUUCUCUGGGCAACCUGUUCCAGUGCCUCACUACCCUCACACCAUAACAGGUGAUGCCUGGUUUUGGUCUUGUUCUGGCUCUUUCUUUGUGUUUAAGUCAAAAUGUUGUGGGGUGUUUUUUUUUUUUUUUUUUUUUUCCCUUUAAGAGGCUUUCAGCUAAAUCAGUAAACUGGGCUUUGCAAUGAAAUUCUUAACAAAAUGCUUCAGGGCAAUUUUCGAUGGGCUGAAAAGAAUCAUGGAAGAAUAGUCAGAGGCACAUGCUGGCUCAGCAGCUUCAGCUGCUGUUGAUGGAAGAGAGUGGUUAAAGGCAGAGCGUGCAGUUAAUGGUGCAAGUCUGAGAUUACAGCUUGGUUGUUGAAAGUGGACAAAAAGGAUUGUGUUUCAGUUCAUAAUAAUACUUUAUUUUGGAACUAUCACGGUAUCAUGAAUGGUUCACUAACAUACACAAACAUCUUGGUGGUUAGUUUUCAGUGGCUAACCAUUUGUCAACAAAAGCUCUAGAAAUAAGCUUAACAAAUAACCUUGUGCUGAGAAUGAGCCUUCACAAUUGUUUGGAAGUAGUGUUUCAGAGACUUGAGGAUGUUCUUUUUUGAAAACGAAUGUUUCAAAGAUAAAACAUUCAAAAAACUUGAACAUGUCUAAUCAGAUGAACUUUGGAGAAGUUCUGGCCAAAACUGAGCUGGGUCUGAUGCAUUAACAAAUUGUGAAAAGUGCACAAAAUGAAAUUUCUGCAGUGCCUGUCUCAGCUGAAUGCUGAUGGGUGGCAGACAUCCCCUUACAGAUCCUGGAUGCAGCACCUUUGAGGAAGCUCUGUCUGUGCUGCCAGGCUACCUGAGCAGGAAUGGGUAAGUAGAUCAGAUAGGCAGUAAUAACAUCAGUCUUGGUUAGGCCUGUUAUUAAUCACUGGCUGUGUUGUUUGUUGUUGUAAUUGUGAUUCUGACCAAAGCAGAAAAUUGCAGUUGCUUAACAGAUUAGAUUUUGCAUUUAAUUUGGCACAUGGCCUCUUUAAACAUAAAGCCAGGCAUUAAGGAAUGUGUAAAUAGGGAAGAAAGUGCUGCCUCUCAAAGAACACGCUCGAUCUUGGAGCCUCACAGCAAAUACUCUCUUUCUUUGCAUUUCUUCACUUCUAUUAGUCUGGUCAUUUAUUUGAUAACUUAAGUACGUGUGCAAACAAAUGAAGCAAAAUCUUCAGUGUUCAUUCUGUUGAGCUGGAGUUGAUCUGUGAAAUCGUGGUACAUCUGACGUGACUCGGGAUGACUGAGGCUCAGUGCAGCGAUGAGCUGGAAGGCCUGAUCUCCUUCCCAUUCCCAAUCCUCCUCUGGUUGUGUGGUUUCACGCCUUCCAAGGUGCCUCCACUGGCCCUUGUGUUGUCUCAACUCACCCACUCUUGGGAAAGCUGUCCAUGUUUUUGCUGGAUGAUUUACGAAGGGAUGUUGUAAGCACCAGAACUGGUAUAAGGUGAGUGGGAGAAACGUGCAGUGGGGUAUAGGAAAAAGAAAACUUAAGUAAAACCUUUGCUCUUGAAUAAACUCAUAAUUUUAACAGGGAGUAUUUUAUUGUAACUCUUACUAGAUGUUUUCCUUUGUCUCAUAUCCAUGCUGGUUAUUUAACAAUAAAUACUGGAUGUUUGUGUAUUCGGUACUUAGGAGUUGCUGAUCUUUAGAGAAAUUAAACUGAAGCUGCUUGAACUACCUGAGUGAUCACAGGUGUUUCCUAUUUCCUAAAUGCAGUAGCACUGUAUCAGGAAUUUUUAAAUCUGUUACAAGGCCGUUUCAAAACUUAUAUUUAAUUGUAACAGUUUCUACACCAAAAUAUUUUACCUGACGUUUUUCUGAAGUCUGGCUGCUCCCUUUUAAGUGUGAGCCUCUGGAGGCUCCCAGAAUGUAGGCAGCAAGAUGCCUUUUGUUUCAGUGUUUUAUUUAGUCUGGGUGCUGUGGAAAAAAGUAGGAGUGGAAGAAGGAACUGUUUUCCCAAGACUUCUAAUGGGAGUGAAGCAUCUAUGCCAUCAGCUGUAUUUCAAGUAUCAAUCCAGUUGACUGAUUAAAGAGAUUCAGUGAAUGUUCAAAUAUAUGAGGAGAUUGUGGUAUCCUGUGGGGAGUUUUAACCAGCUAGCUCAGCUCAGCUCAGCUCAGCUCAUCCUGUGUGGCUGGGAGAAAAAGCAUAAAUUUGAGUAUUAUUUUCCAGAGGGCAAAUCAGGAGUGAUUAAUUUGGUGUAAUUCGCUGUGCUCCAGUAUUUGCUCUGUGCAGUUGCCCUCAUCUGUCCUUCCUGCCUCUCUGGAGAGGUUCAUUCUCACUGCACCACAUAUACCUCCACUUCAGAAUGAAAUCAUCACUACCAUGAGGCACCCUCAUGGUAAAUAAAUAUCUCCUUAUAUCUAGUCUACAUCUACCCUCUUUUGGUUUAAAAUCAUUACUGCUUCUCCUGCUACAACAGGCCCUGCUAAUAAGUUUGUCCCCAUCUUUCUUGUAAGUACUUCAAGAAGAGGGCAUGUAAAGAAAUCAAAAAGGUUGUCAGAGGGGUUUUCUUAUUUUUUAUCAUAGGCUAAAUUAGCAUCUUCUCUUUUGCUGUGAUUAGCUUGUAUAAAUAUUUAUUUGGAAAUUGUUGUACAAAAUACCAUAGAGACUAGCAGAGUUUAAAAUGCUGCUGCCCCUCACCCAACAAAAUGACAGUACUCAACAUCAAAGUGAGAAUUAAAUAUAACCAGUGCGUUCAAAAAGUUCUGACAGAUAAGUAGAAGGAAAUAUGCUCAUAAGAUUAAUUAACAACUGUCUGUACAGUUCAGAAAUGAGUGGAAACAGUCAAAAAUUACCACCUGAAUAAAGAGCAGGGUAUUUGGGAAGACCUGCUUAAGAUUUCUGAGAGGCAAAUACAUCCAAGUUCUUGAUUGUGGAAAUGACAGUCAUAAAUCUGUAUCUGACAGGAAUUAAUUGGAAGACAUUUACAGUACAGAAAGAGUAUUCUUGAGGUGUUUGAAAAAUGGCUUUUAAACCUGCAAUUUCCUUCCUGUUCUCUACACCCCUGAAACAAGUGAGGAUUUCAGCAGUAAAACUUGUUGGCAGGUGGAUAGAAAUUGUGGGUAGAAAAGUUUGUUUUGUUGGGGGUGUUUUGCUUUUUAUUACCUUGAUUGUUCAUUUAAAGCUUUAAACAGUGUUGAGAAUAGCCUGAUAAUUAAUGCAUCUUAUUCACAGCUGGUAAUCUGAGGAGUGAUAAGGAAUUUUGCUAUGCUUUCCAAAUUUGAAAUAUAACUUUGAAGGGCAGAUCAGCCUCAAACAUUCUAGUUAAUAUGAGCAGGCAUUGUUGUAACAAUAGAAUACUCUAAGAUGGGUUUGGCAACAACAUUGUGGUAAAUAAUUUGGCAGAGCAUUAUACUUUUUAUUACCUGAAAUAAUCAGUUAUCUCAUUUUUUUUUGCUCCAAUUCCAGUUCAGCUGAAGCCAAUAAAAAGCUUCGUAGACUUUGACAGGACCUGAAUCGAAUGCCUCAUGACUCGCAUUUCAAUGAACUGUGGUGAGGUAGUUCAAUUCCACGUGGUACUUUGGUUUUGCAGUUCUAAUGAAUUCACAAAAACCCCAACAAAAACACCCCAAAACCUAUACCUGCAUAAUGCUUAUGAUACUAUUCAUCAGAGGAUUUGAUAAAUCAGAUAGGAGGCCUUCCUAUUGUUGCAGCAAUAAACUUUCAGUAGAUUUAUUUUUCAGCUGACAAAGCCAGAGAUCACUUUUGUGACUCUCCGUUAUUUGCUCUAAUUAAUCAACUUUCCCUCUGCUCAUCCUGUUGAAUCACAAGUUCUAAAAAGAGACAAGAUAUAAGGUAAGAGUGUCUCAGUCAGUGUAUGAAAGGAGAAAACCAAACUCAACCCAAACAACUGCUGCUCAAAGGCAUUUUCUCCCUCUACAAGGAGAGGUAAGAUUACACUGUAUUCAACUAAAUUUUAACACUUUGCUCCUUAUUUAUAAUAGGUGGAAUGUGUCUUGCAAAUUGUCAUGUUACUUGUGAUUAAAUUGGAUUCUGCACCAUUUCUGUAGUGUGUUGAAAACAUGACUUUGCCAGAUGGUAACUGUGGUUAAGAAUUAAAGAAUCUCUGAACUCUUUCUUGCAGGCCCUGUGAAAUCCCUUUCCUUGCAAGUCUUCCUAUCACUUCCAUUAGAUUAGUAAUUUUUGAGUCCCAGGGAAAAAAUCUAGAGGUAAGUGUCCUCUAGAGCUGAAAAUGCACAUUCACAAAUUUAAAAACUGUUCCCUAAAUGAAAGGGAACUAUGGGAGAAUAUUUUUGCAAGCUUUUAAUUCCAUGGCGUCAUCAUAACCUUGUCUUUCACUUAUCAAAAUACCUCAGACGGUUCAGUGAUUUCAGCCUCACAGAAUAGUAACCUCCAAGAACUCCAAAAUGAUUUUACAAGUAGGGUGAAAGGGAAUUCUCUCAACAAGAAAGAAGCUGCAAAGAUCUUUGUGACUUGUCAAAAGCCAAAUCUGAUGCUGAAGUUUUAUGAAUGAGAACACCACUGUCCACUGGCAUCAGCUGUUUGGUGUGUUUUUCAGAGGGUGAGACCUCCUUGUCUAGCAUUGUCAAUGUAACCUCUUUAUAUUCCAAGAUUUGGAACGUUUUCUUACUUGCAAAAGCAUUUAAAAAUCUCAGACCAAUCCUCUGCAUCUCACUUAACACCACUGUAGGUUCUAACGUCUUAAAAACCAUAAAAUCCAGUGAAAAUGUUACAUAGAAAGAUCCAGCCUUUAUUAAAGUGCAUUUUAGGCACCAAAUUAAAAUAUAAUUUGAUCUAAUGAAGGGGGAAAAAAGGGGACUUGUUUCUUCUUAAAAAAACUUCCUAGCAUGUGUGUAACUGUAUAGCCACUGUCCAAACCCCAGCCCAACAUGUUUCCUGUGAGAUCCUUGGAUGUGGUUUCCUGGGGCAGGGAGGGGAAGGGACACAAGUGUUGGUCAGCAACUUGUUCAGCAAGAUCUGAAAGCCACAGACUGCUGGGGGUUGAUAUUUUAGCAAGAUGUCAAACUAAUGGUGUCCACAACCAUAGACACAGAAACUGUGUUGAUACAGUUAAUCAGUAAUUCCCUGAAGUCCUCGACUAGUGCUCUGUGGAUACUGGUUAUUGAUCUAAUACAAUGUUUGAUUCUACUUAAAAGAUAUUUUGUCAUCCCAUUAGUGCAAUAGACACUUAUCAACGGACUUUGAUUUGAAAAUUAAAUGUCUUUUUCAACAUUUUAGUUUUUUAAACUACGAAAGAAACACUAGCUGGGAAACCUGGGUAGUUUUUUUAUCCAGGGACAAAUCUCUAGCUCUUUGCUUAACAUGCCCUGACCCACAGUACUCUACUUAAUUCUCUUUGACCUGGUAUUUACUGUUGAACAUCAAAACCAUCUGACACAAAUAUACUUUGUCUGAAGGGGUAGCGUGCCAUGAAAUUAAUGGUUCCUUCUGAUCCAAAAUUAUAAACACAAAAAUACAACAAAUUAGCAAUGUCUAAAAUAAACCAGUGUAAUCCAGAUCAAGUCAUGAAAUCAUUUUCACACUCAAAUCUGUUAUUAGAACGAAUAGAAAAUUCACACAGCAAGGAAGUGAACACGUGGACUUUAAACCAACAAAGUAGACUUCUUAUGGUGGCUUGAAGUCACAAAAAAUUGCUAGUGUCAAUAAGAGCAAUUAAAAUACUGUUCCUUCCGAAGAGGAAAAAAAAGAUGAAACUAUUAAUGAAACAUCAAUAGUUUGAUGGGAUGGCUCAAAGUGCAUAUGGAAGAGGGCAGCAGUCCCAGCCUUGCUCUGUAUGCACUGCCCCCUCUCAGCACAGUGGCUUUGUGCAAAGAACAGCCCUGCAGCCUCUGCAGCAGGUGAGCUCCUUUCCCAAAUGGGAACUCCACUCGUUCCUCGUUAUCCUGAAGAUCUUUCCCGUUUCUGUAAGGCAUCUUGCAAUAUGCAAGGGAACACACACUUCUCCAAAUGUAUGUGAUGCUUCAGUAAUCCCCCCUCAGCCCAGAAGGAGGUUUGUGAUUAGGGGGCAGGAAGGGACAUCGACUUUCUGAACACCCACGUCCCCCUGGGGGGCCCUGGGUAAGGGGGGGGUGGCACGUUGUGCUGUCCGUCUGAAGCCACUGCCUGCUCGUAAGUGGGCAGUCCUGAAUCAUCAGUUCUGGGAGGAAGUGGGUUUAAAGAAAACUCCUCGUGCCUUCUGAAGAUGUUGGCUGAGCCACGUCGUCUGCUCCCGACGUAAUCCAAGUACCUGCACAAAGGUAACGGCAUAAUAAGUGGCAACUUCUGUUUCAAAGGGAAGAAAGAAUAUAAAGUCCUUAUCAUAAAAUAAACAAAAAAACAAACCAACCCAAAAAAACUCCCCACCAAAAACCCACAUCAGAGGGAAAAAACAUGCCUUCAGUGAUCAUAAAGCCAAAUACUCUCUCCAAACCACAGGGUAAGAAUAAUAGCUCAGUAAUGUGAAAUUUAUAAGGAAGAGGAAGCACAGAAUCCUCUUACAUUCCUUUCAAGUUUAGGAUAAAGGAACAAGCAGGAAUAGAGAACUGGUAAAGGGGAAUUUCCUCCAAACUACUCCAUCUCACAUCUGAGGUUGACUGUGUGCCAUGAAAGGCAUUCAUCCUAUGAGACUUUCCACUGCAGGCCCCAAUCUAGUAAAAUAAUUCCAUCUUUUUAGUAAGAAUAUUUUGGAACCAAGAAACACACACACACAAAAAAGCAAAGCCAAAGGUUUGGGUGUGCAAGCAUCAAGGUUUUGUGCUAUUAACUUCAGCAGAAGUACUGCUAGUGCUCACCUAACUUGGCUUGCAGGCAAGUACAAAUGAGAACUCCCAUGAGAUUCUCUGAGAAUGCAGUUAGACCAACCCACACUGAUUUUUAAAUUCCACUGUUAAGCAAGAGUUUGUUUUGGGGUGUGUUUGCUUUUUGUUUGGUUUUGUUUGUUUGUUUGUUAUUUUUUUAAAAGCAGUGAAAUUCCUUACCCUGGAGGUUGCCUUGAUUUGCAUCUGCUUUUGCAGCAGUAGAAGACAAUCAGUGCAAUUAUAACCAACAGUACUCCAGCAGCAACGAGACUGAUGAGAAGUCCUGUGACAUUGAUCUUUUGUAGUGUCUCAUCUCCUGAAGAGAAAACAUUGUUUAUUUUCAUUACGUAUUCUUUCCAUCUACCCAGUUUGCACUGUGAAAUGCUGCUUGAGAUGUCCAUCUUCUAACGCUUUCCAAGUAUUACUUCACGUGCUUUUGACCUUGAUCAGGCUGUAGAUACCAGUUUUUCAUUAAACAUCUGGCAUCAGACUACUCUGAGCCUAAUUCAGACUGUUAUAUUACUGUUAAAGACAUGGGAGGGAGAGCAAACAAAAUAAAACCACGGAAAGCAGCCACAGAAUUAUUACAAAGUUUACCAAUUGUGCAAUAAAGAAAUGGCCGUGAAAAUUAUAUUGUUUUUACCUACAGAGUUAUAAUGGAUCCCAUUCUAAGAUGCUUCAGUGAGUAUGUUUUAUGGCAUCAGAUAAUGAAAUGUACGAUUCACAGUGAUCUUCAGUAAAAAAAUCAAUUCUGAUGUUGCUAACUGGAUGCACAGUGUAUUGAGUGUACUGUUAUAACAAACAGAAAGUGCAGCAAUAUAAGAAAAAAAUAAGAAGAUAACUUACCUAUUUUUAUUUUAGGGCCUUUAGUUGAAUAGUCUUUCCAAAAAUCCAUCUGUAAAAAAAGACCCCAAAUAAUCAGAUUUAUAGUUGACAGGCCUAUUGACUUUAUUGUCUUUAAUACGGUACGUUGGGCAAAAUUUAACAACGGCAUAAACAGAAGCAGCUCCUGCUGAAGGGUUUGUACUUGCUCGUCCCAUGACAUUUUUCUUACACGUCCAAGUUUGCAUUGAAAUUUCACAAAGCAAAAAUUACCACUUGGUGAAAGAGAAAAGUGUAUUAAACUGUCCAGUGUUACAUCAUAUUUCUGCCUGAUUACAGAAGAAGUGACCAUAUAUUCUGACACUAAAAAAAUGCUUCCAGUUAAUCUUUGUAAAUCCCUACAGAACAGUAUUUAUGAGGCAAAGUUCUUAAUAAGAAUCCUACAUUUGCAUGAAUGGUAUUUGAAUUCACAUGAGCUAAGCAAAAUAAUGAGAUUUAUUCAAGAGAGAAACUUUCAUGUUGCAUGACCAUCAGGCAUUAAAUGUGUUCAGCCAUAAUUUCCACCUUUGCUACCCAGCAAGACUCCCUCAAGAUUCUCAGCUUAUUGGGCUGAAGGGUUUCUUAUAUUUUUUUCUCAUUUUUUUAUAGCAGGUUUCUUCCCAUAUAGGGAGAAAUUCAGAAGGUAACACUUUAGGAACACUCAGCAAUAGCUGAACUGCAGAUUUGCUCCGUACUGAUCUCUUCUAAGACACGAGGAUGGCAUCUGCCAAUUAAUAAUAAUGCUGAGAAGUUACUUAAAAAAAAAUUAAAAAAAAUAAAAGAGUCUGUAAAUCUAUUGGAAUAUCUACAAGUGGGACUUCUGAAGCUUCAUUUCUGUUUGUUUGCAGACAUAACAUAAUAUAUAAAUAAUGAUUUAGCCAGGAGCCUCCCUCAGUAUAUUAAAUUCAGUUUGAACCGCUACCGUUUUGUCGUGGUCUUCAAAAAUUUCUCUUGCUUCUUCAUAGUUGCACAGCUCUUCAUAGCAUUCUCUCUCCAGGUUAUCUGCCGUGAAUACUUCGAAAUCAAAUCUGUUGUUCAGAAGGUGUCGUCCGAUGAAUAAAUUGGCCUCCUUUUCAGAGGUGAACACUAAUUAAAAUAAAAUCGAGGUGAUGUAAGACAAGGUAGGGAAGGGUAGGGAAGCUGAACUUGAUAUUUUUAAAGAAUGGUCAAGAUCCCAAAGGAGCACACUGAGAUCACUCCUUCCCCAAGCAUCUCUCAGCUAUGUACAAGAAAAAGAAAUGUCAAGGUUUCCUCCUAAAUGUCUUCUUCGCUGCUAUAUUUUCUAACUAUGUAAUUAAAACAAACGUAUUUCCCUUUCAGCUAUUCCUUGUACUGGCCAAGAGAAUUUGAUUAUCAUGAGAGCUGUUGGUCAAGCUUUGGUGUUGUCCCUUCUGGAUGGUUUUUACUGGAGCUCUUAAGAGCAAGGCUUCGUGAGGCCUCGUGGAGCAAGUUGUGAGGUGAGAUUCCAGAAUAGUGAGUGAAAUUGUAGAAGGCUUUGGAAUACAGGAAUGUAUUUCCUCACCAGGCAUUUUCCAUAGUCAAGUUUUGGCCUGUUCUUGCUACAGUUUCUUAGGAAAAGAAAAAAAAAAAUUAAAAAAUCUUU
Myiozetetes cayanensis is the source of this 12566-nucleotide long non-coding RNA. RefSeq lists it as uncharacterized. The transcript has 3 exons. The record is from RefSeq and is a predicted model, not a curated record. Lineage: Eukaryota; Metazoa; Chordata; Aves; Passeriformes; Tyrannidae.